UACGAAGGGGGCUAGCGUUGCUCGGAAUGACUGGGCGUAAAGGGCGCGUAGGCGGUUCAUACAGUCAGAUGUGAAAUUCCCGGGCUUAACCUGGGGGCUGCAUUUGAUACGUGUGGGCUUGAGUGAGGAAGAGGGUUGUGGAAUUCCCAGUGUAGAGGUGAAAUUCGUAGAUAUUGGGAAGAACACCGGUGGCGAAGGCGGCGACCUGGUCCUUGACUGACGCUGAGGCGCGAAAGCGUGGGGAGCAAACAGG
This 253-nucleotide ribosomal RNA is filed under the name uncultured bacterium. RNAcentral describes it as "partial 16S ribosomal RNA". It matches the Rfam family "Bacterial small subunit ribosomal RNA", at positions 524 to 776 of the family's 1533-position model. The record is from RNAcentral.